Molecule: non-coding RNA, 1378 nt
Organism: Pelobates cultripes (western spadefoot toad)
Lineage: Eukaryota; Metazoa; Chordata; Amphibia; Anura; Pelobatidae
Source: the annotation of a GenBank genome assembly
UGCACAUCGACUUCUCAGUUUUUUGCACUCAUUCGGCACUUGGUACAAAAUGGGUAUAAGACUGACCAUAACUAUUGAAAUCAAGCUUAAAUGCACUACAGGUGUGACCAGCAGUGAUAAUGCCAGCGGGAAACGGCAGGAUUAGCAAUGACCAGGGGGCUGGGAAGUGGGCUGACCAUUUUCAAGGUUGGCAUAUGGCCCUUUUGACCUUGUAAGGGCAAGAAAUAAACUUGCAAUGACAAGUGGGGGAUAGAACUUAAUUUCUGUGUGGGGUCAAUAUUAAAACACCAUUUUAUUUUCAAAGGAAAAAUAUAUUUUCACUUAAGUUAUUCUGACUACAGCUGAUGAGUCAGCUGGCCUUUUCUUUCUUUUCUUGGUAUAUAUUGCUCUCAAAAACAAUCUCCUGUGGUGAGAAAAGCCUAAGUGAAAUGAUAGAAUGUAAAAUAAUCCAAACCUAUUCUAGAGGACUAAUGACCAGAUCUUAUUCCAUGCGGAUAAGCGUGGCUGGAUAGUGGGAAAUCUUGAAAUUACGAAGAGUCUCAUUCAAUAGAUUUCAUGAAGUGUAUGACCUCAGUCUGACCGCAUCAACAAAGAUUCUAUUUUUUUUUUUUUUUUUUUUUCGCUGAACUCUAUCAAGGUAGCUUGAUCAAUGUUUUAAUGGAAUGAACUGUGCAAUAUCUGCUAUUUAAAUCCUUUUCUAAUUUGUGUUUUUAUUUUUUUUGGUUUUUAUUUUGUUUGUUCCUCUUGAUAGUUUGAUAUAAAUCAGACUUUUCACCUGUUUUUUCUUCCAGUGGUGUUUAGACGUGGGAGGUUGCAAGUCAGUAUUAUUUAUUUGAAGACUAUAUAAAUAUAUAUAUAAUUUUUUUCUUUUUAGUAGCCAGCCGUUCAUUACCUCCAGUGCCCUGCCAACCUUAAAACAGCACCCAGUAAAAUGCUGUGGCCUGGGAUCUUUCUGGUUUGGUGUCUCCCCCCCCCCCCUUGAAAUGAAAGGUGUAAAGUAUAGGAUGAAACCACCCAUAACAAUACAUGUGGUUUGGCAAUUCUUCUCUUAGGGCAGAGUUCUUGAUUUAAUAUACUUUCUUCCCUGCCCUCUAAAACGUGUAGUAAAAAUUAAAAAGAUUUUGCUUUGUGCACUAUUCAGUGCAUCUGUCAUUUAACCUUUUAUAAUUAUUUUUUUACCUUAAAGUCCUAUUUACCAUUGUGAAUUACAGAAAAUAAGGUUUUGGAACCUCCUUUUGUGUUAGCCAACUGCUUAAAUUAUGCAGAAGGCCCAAAUACCAUGAAUGCUAACCUUUAGAUUAAAAUGAUUCCAGCACUGGGCACGGUAGAAAUGAACUGGUUAGGCAACCCCACAUAUAUUAAUUUGUGCUGUGCACAG